RNAcentral lists this long non-coding RNA (1435 nucleotides) under Coturnix japonica (Japanese quail). Its description in RNAcentral is "lncRNA (ENSCJPG00005014350.1)". The record is from RNAcentral. Lineage: Eukaryota; Metazoa; Chordata; Aves; Galliformes; Phasianidae.
CAGCUCUCACCUUUAAUUACCUUGAUGCAAUUCGUCAAAAUCUGAAAAUGCUUUUUCAAACACGAUUAUGAUUUCAGUGGGAACGAAGUCGUAUUCAGCACCAUCUUCAUUAUCAGAUUUCUUUUUUUUUUUUUUCUUAAAUCUACCAAGCAGAAACGUGUUAGGAAACCCAUGAAAUAAAAAUGGAACGUAAUGUUUUCUGCAUGGUUUCUGGAAGAAGAUUUCUUCUCUAAUGCACUUAGCUGCAAAACCACCCACAAUUUAUCACAUAAUUAAUUAUUUUCCUUGCAUACUUAACAACUGUUUAGUUGAUUUUACUUGGAAGGGGGAUGUUUAGGAUAUUUUUUUUACUUGUAUACAUUUAAAAUAUGCUAAAAAUGGGCUAAAAGAAACCUUUAGAAAAGCAAGUAACAUCCUAUUGAAAUUAUUCAGUCGGCAUCAUGCUGCAUCUUGUUUGCAGUUUGGAUGCUAGUUGUUAAAUAGAGAGGUUUUCAGUGAUGUGUUAAUUUACUUCUGUAUUUCUAUAACAGUUUUAGAUAAUUCAGUCCUACUGAGCAAAAUGAUAGAAAUGAUAACGAUGAGUUCUUCUAAUUCCUUUGUUUUAAAAUAGCAGGACUAUACGUAUGGAUUACUGUGAGGGGUAGAGCUGUGAAGAAAGACUGACAAGGGAAAGAUGGAAAGAUUUGUGAAGUGUGAGAAUAGCAAGGAACCGUCUACCAGUGGAGGACAAAACAGCAAGGAGGCAGGAAAAUACUCCUUCUCAGGGAAUAUUUUUUACUUUUGAUGUCUUUAAUCACACUCCUUGCUGUUUGGCCAUGCCAUCUGUUAAGGCCAUAUCCCUCAAUGGCUCUGCACAUGUGACUUCUUGUGCGUUUCAAUGGAAACUUUGUGCGGCUUAACUGGAUCGGCAGAUGUAAACAGAGGUGCUGUUUUUAAUGUCCAGAAAGUCACUGUGAGCUAAGUCUGCAUGUCCUGUUAGCCACCUCCCUGAGGAUGCGUAGGAUGGAAUAAAUGGCCAGAAAUUUCUGCUUCCAGGCACAUACGAGUACCUGCGGCAGCUGCUCUGCAGGUCCCCUGCUGUGCAAAUCGCCCUUCACAGAGGAAGAUCUUCCUGUCAGUGACUGACGAGAGGUGCCAGGAGCAGGCUAGGAGACUUUUAAAACCCUCGACUUGGCAAAUCAGCAGCGCUAUGAAAAACUAUCACUUUGUUACUUUGGGUCUUUUGAGGAGAAGACUUCAUAGACUUGAAAGGUUUCUGGAAGAAGCUGAAUAGAAGAGAGGGAGAUCCCCUUCAAAGAUCUUAGCUCCUGAGAGGCAUUGUUUGACAGAUUUUGGCACAGCCUCACACUGUUUACUAAGCACCUUUGAAAGCAGGUAGCCUUGGAAGAAACCUUUCUGGGGAAAUAAAAUCUUGAUGCAGGGGAGGCUGCUUUCA